GACGAACGCUGGCGGCGUGCUUAACACAUGCAAGUCGAACGGAAAGGCCCUGCUUUUGUGGGGUGCUCGAGUGGCGAACGGGUGAGUAACACGUGAGUAACCUGCCCUUGACUUUGGGAUAACUUCAGGAAACUGGGGCUAAUACCGGAUAGGAGCUCCUGCUGCAUGGUGGGGGUUGGAAAGUUUCGGCGGUUGGGGAUGGACUCGCGGCUUAUCAGCUUGUUGGUGGGGUAGUGGCUUACCAAGGCUUUGACGGGUAGCCGGCCUGAGAGGGUGACCGGCCACAUUGGGACUGAGAUACGGCCCAGACUCCUACGGGAGGCAACAGUGGGGAAUAUUGCACAAUGGGCGGAAGCCUGAUGCAGCAUCGCCGCGUGCGGGAUGACGGCCUUCGGGUUGUAAACCGCUUUCGCCUGUGACGAAGCGUGAGUGACGGUAAUGGGUAAAGAAGCACCGGCUAACUACGU
Molecule: ribosomal RNA, 467 nt
Filed under: uncultured bacterium
Lineage: Bacteria
Description: partial 16S ribosomal RNA
Rfam family: Bacterial small subunit ribosomal RNA
Source: RNAcentral